AUGAGAAUACAGGCAAUUAACCUGUUCACUAAUGUUCUUUUAAUGCUGGUCAUACAAGGUAUUGUCUGUGAUGAGAUCAGACUGGAUCAGUCUCCUUUUCAGGUGAAGAGACCAAGAGAGACAGUUAAGAUCUCCUGUAAAAUAUCUGGAUUCACAAUGACAAGCUACUACAUCCACUGGAUAAGACAGAAACCUGGAGGACCCCUGGAGUGGAUUGGGGGAAUGAAUCAGGGCACUGUGUAUCAGGAAGAGUCUCUGAAAGGCCAGUUCACCCUGACUGAGGACAGAUCCAUCAGCACACAGUACUUAGAGGCCAAGAGUCUGAGAGCAGAGGACACUGCUGUUUACUACUGCGCUCGAGACUCACAGUGA
Alosa alosa (allis shad) is the source of this 372-nucleotide non-coding RNA. The record is from the annotation of a RefSeq genome assembly. NCBI's taxonomy places the organism in Eukaryota, Metazoa, Chordata, Actinopteri, Clupeiformes, Clupeidae.